CCUACGGGGUGCAGCAGUGGGGGAUAUUGCACAAUGGGGGAAACUCUGAUGCAGCGAUGCCGCGUGAAUGAAGACGGCUUUCGGGUUGUAAAGUUCUUUUGCAGGGGACGAAAAUGACGGUACCCUGCAAGAAAGCUCCGGGUAACUCGGUGCCAGCAGCCGCGGUAAUACGUGGGGAGCAAGCGUUGUCCGGAAUUACUGGGUGUAAAGGGGGCGUAGGCGGGGGGAUAAGUUGAAUGUGAAUUCUAUGGGCUCAACCCAUAGCUGCGUUCAAGACUGUUCUUCUUGAGUGGAGUAGAGGCAGGCGGAAUUCCUGGUGUAGCGGUGAAAUGCGUAGAUAUUAGGAGGAACACCAGUGGCGAAGGCGGCCUGCUGG
Molecule: ribosomal RNA, 376 nt
Filed under: uncultured bacterium
Lineage: Bacteria
Description: partial 16S ribosomal RNA
Rfam family: Bacterial small subunit ribosomal RNA
Source: RNAcentral